GAAACGCUGUGAAAAGGAGAGUCCUCAGUCCAGGCUUGGGGUCUGUAACUUUAUUUUACACUGAUAAAGUCGAUAACUUUUGCGCAAAUCUGAGAAUCCUGUUACCAGUGAACAUGUCCUAAAGUUUUUGUACAACGAGGAAAUUCUGCAUGUCCAUCCAGGCGUAGAUGAAAAGAAAGUUGUACAAAGUCACUGUAGGUACAUGUAGUCAACUCUAGUUACGCAGUAUCUGCUUGUACUGUGAAUGCCCAUUGGAUAACUUCAUAUGACAUCAUUUUGAAACAACCUCUGCACCUCUGUUGUAUGGAUAUAAAUGCAUGCUGUGUAUGUAAAACAUAUGUAAAGUGUUGGUGGCUUAAAAAUCUGAAGACAUCAAUGAGAAGGAACACAAAAACCAUGGUGCAUAAGUUAUGUCCAACAAGUCCUUUAAAAUACAGCUAUGGAUUGGAUUCAGC
Saccostrea echinata is the source of this 455-nucleotide long non-coding RNA. RefSeq lists it as uncharacterized. The record is from RefSeq and is a predicted model, not a curated record. The transcript is spliced from 4 exons. Lineage: Eukaryota; Metazoa; Mollusca; Bivalvia; Ostreida; Ostreidae.